RNAcentral lists this long non-coding RNA (2213 nucleotides) under Homo sapiens (human). Its description in RNAcentral is "HSALNT0030315". Lineage: Eukaryota; Metazoa; Chordata; Mammalia; Primates; Hominidae. The record is from RNAcentral.
AUGUUGUCCAGGCUCUACUCAGCCUCCCAAAGUGCUGAGAUUACAGGCACAAGCCACUGCACCAAGCAAAAAUCUAGUUUUUUAAUGAAGGAAGGAGUAAAGUUCAGCAAGUCCAUGCUCCAUGUCCUGAACAGUAGGAGGCAUGUUGCCUCCCGAGAAUAGUCUUCUUUCUCAUCUGCAUGGUAAAUUACCAUUCCUCCAAAACUCUGUUCAAAGUCAGCUGCUCUGGGAAGAUGUCCUUGGCCCCUAGAGCCAUGGGAUGGGUGCCCACAGCACCUCUAUAUUCCUAUAAGUAUUAAGAGAAUUGUCCCAUGGCAUCAGUAGUUAUGACUUUACACAUGCACCCUUUUCCCCAACCCAUUGCUGACACACAAACUCUUUUAAGACAGGGGCACUGUUUUUUUUUUAUUGUCUCCUGUCCUAACACAAUGCAUAGAAAAAAUACUUGAUAAAACCUCACUGAAUGAAUGAAUGUCAAAGGCUGAAUUCAUGAAUUCUAGGGACGUGUUCUACAAUAGUAAUGAUGAUGAUGCUUCUAGGACACUGCAAUCUCUCCCUCAUAAGUGAGCACCUCGGAUUUAACUGUCCAGCAUCAUUUGGAGCACAGGGCGGAGGAUUAUACCGAGGAACCACACCCAUGUCAUUUGAAUUGUCCACAAGACCACUAUAAGGACUUUCCAGGACCAUCACAAGGCUGCAAACCGCAUUUGAAGUGCUGCUUCUGGGGCAUUCUUUCCAAAGAGCCUUUUAGCAGGGCAGGGAGUGAAAGCAUUACCAGGUGCUCUGCUGAAACCGGUAGGAUGAACACCUUCCGAACAGGCUGCAUUCCUCCCGAGGAAACUGAAGAGUGUAACCUCACAGUGAAAUUCCCCCCAAGUCUUUGGCUCUGCAGGAAGCUUCUGGCUAUUUUUCAGGAGAUGCGUUUGCUGCAGGAGGAGUUGGUACCAGUCUUCAGUUCUCAGCCUGUAGGCCCCUGACAUGGGGCACUACUCUGUACAGUUCCAGAAACCAACAACAGCCAUUUAGCAGGAGUGUUGAAACUGCAGAUUGUUCUCCACUGUUCUUCACUGUGGCUGUGUUUGGAACUACCAAAUACUAAUCCUCAGAACUUGGUCUUGGACCUGGUUAUAAAUCUCAUUCCUGCAACUCUGAACAGUGUGAUCUUGGGAGAGUUACUUAAUUUUUCUGAGUCUCAGUUUUUCUUAUCUAUAAAAUGAAGUUAGUAAUAGUAUGGACUUCAUAUAACGUAUGUGAUGAUUAAAUUACAGAGCACAUGUAAUGUGUGUAGCACAAUGCGUGGUACAUAACUAGGCCUCAACAAAUGGCCCAACAAUGUGUUGUUGGUCUAGGGUGGGAGACAGUAAUCUCCCUUUGACUGUCAUUAUCUUUUGACUGGGAAGAUUGGGUAGGCAACAAUGUUGCCUGUUUGCUGUACUUAGCUCUACUUUACUUUUUAUUUUUUUAUUUUUUUGAGACAGAGUCUCACUCUGUCACCCAGACUGGAGUGCAAUGGCACAAUCUUGGCUCACCACACCCUCCAUCUCCCAGAUUCAAGCAAUUCUCCUGCUUCAGCCUCUCAAGUUGCUGGGAUUACAGGCAUGUGCCACCAUGCCCAGCUAAUUUUUUGUAUUUUUAGUAGAGACAGCGUUUCACCAUGUUAGCCAAGCUGGUCUCAAACUCCUGACUUCAGGUGAUCCACCCACCUCAGCCUCCCAAAGUGCUGGGAUUACAGCUGUGAGCCACCGCACCCAGCCGUCUACUUCAUUCUUGCUUGGUUGUUUGCUUCCUGCUCUCACCAAAUUGUAAAGCUCACUGAGGACAUGAACUAAGAUUCUGUGGCCAACAGGGUCUUUCUAUAUAGUAGAUAGUCAAUAAAUAUUUGUAGAUGGAUGCAUGGAUAUUUUUUCAACUGACUAUUUGAAUAUGACUUCUGAUACAUAUGAGUAUCAGUACCCAGGGAAUACAUGAUCCAAGGCUGGGGAGACAUGGGCUUAAUAUUUACUAACAUUUUCCCUUACCUGCCACCUGCUUCUCUUGAGACAUUAAAUCCAAAGGCUAUAAAUCCUGCUGCUUUGCAUGGCUGGGUUAGAUUGCAUAUGAGAAUUUUGCAAAGCAAAAAAGAUACAUCACACCAACUGGCCUCUCAAUGUAUGCUCCCCUCAAAAGGCUUUCAAGCCAAAAAUCCCUAAGCAGUAAUUAUGUGCAAGGCAAAG